UAAAUUGAGAGUUUGAUCCUGGCUCAGGAUGAACGCUGGCGGCGUGCUUAACACAUGCAAGUCGAGCGAUGAAGUUUCCUUCGGGAAACGGAUUAGCGGCGGACGGGUGAGUAACACGUGGGUAACCUGCCUCAUAGAGUGGAAUAGCCUUCCGAAAGGAAGAUUAAUACCGCAUAACGUUGAAAGAUGGCAUCAUCAUUCAACCAAAGGAGCAAUCCGCUAUGAGAUGGACCCGCGGCGCAUUAGCUAGUUGGUGGGGUAACGGCCUACCAAGGCGACGAUGCGUAGCCGACCUGAGAG
Molecule: ribosomal RNA, 300 nt
Filed under: Clostridium perfringens
Lineage: Bacteria; Bacillati; Bacillota; Clostridia; Eubacteriales; Clostridiaceae
Description: partial 16S ribosomal RNA
Rfam family: Bacterial small subunit ribosomal RNA
Source: RNAcentral